Molecule: non-coding RNA, 27 nt
Filed under: Rattus norvegicus (Norway rat)
Lineage: Eukaryota; Metazoa; Chordata; Mammalia; Rodentia; Muridae
Source: RNAcentral
GGGUAAACUACAGUUUAGUUCCUCAGC